AGUGAACGCUGGCGGCAGGCCUAACACAUGCAAGUCGAGCGGCAGCGGGUUCCCGCGAGGGGAUGCCGGCGAGCGGCGGACGGGUGAGGAACACAUCGGAAUCUGCCUGGUUGUGGGGAUAACGUAGGAACUUACGCUAAUACCGCAUGAGACCCUGAGUCGACGGACUGGGGGUGAAAGUGAGGGACCUUCGGGCCUCACGCGACCAGAUGAGCCGAUGUCGGAUAGC
This 229-nucleotide ribosomal RNA is filed under the name uncultured bacterium. Its description in RNAcentral is "partial 16S ribosomal RNA". It matches the Rfam family "Bacterial small subunit ribosomal RNA", at positions 29 to 245 of the family's 1533-position model. The record is from RNAcentral.